RNAcentral lists this ribosomal RNA (1415 nucleotides) under metagenome. RNAcentral's name for it is "bacterial LSU rRNA". It matches the Rfam family "Bacterial large subunit ribosomal RNA", at positions 1537 to 2925 of the family's 2925-position model. The record is from RNAcentral.
AAAAUCCGGCAGCUCUUAACUCCGAGGUGUGAUGACGAGGCUCCACGCGAGCCGAAGUGAAUAACGCCCCGCUUCCAGGAAAAGCCUCUAAGCUUCAGAUCACAUUGGACCGUACCGUAAACCGACACUGGUGGGUGAGCAGAUAAUCUGCCAAGGCGCUUGAGAGAACUCGGGUUAAGGAACUCUGCAAAUUGAUACCGUAACUUCAAGAAGGUAUGCCUUCGACGGUGUAGGGAUUUACUCCCGAAGCUGUUGAAGGUCGCAGGUAAUCGGUGGCUGCGACUGUUUAUCAAAAACACAGGACUCUGCGAACACGCAAGUGGAAGUAUAGGGUCUGACGCCUGCCCGGUGCCGGAAGGUUAAUUGAUGGGGUUAGCCGCAAGGCGAAGCUCUUGAUCGAAGCCCCGGUAAACGGCGGCCGUAACGAUAACGGUCCUAAGGUAGCGAAAUUCCUUGUCGGGUAAGUUCCGACCUGCACGAAUGGCGUAACGCUGGCCACACUGUCUCGACCCGAGACUCAGUGAAGUUGAAAUCGCUGUGAAGAUGCGGCGUUCCCGCGGCAAGACGGAAAGACCCCGUGAACCUUCACUACAGCUUUACACUGAACUUUGAACCUUUCUGUGUAGGAUAGGUGGGAGGCUAUGAAACUUGGGCGCUAGCUCGAGUGGAGCCAACCUUGAAAUACCACCCUGGGAUGUUUGAAGUUCUAACCUUGGUCCGUAAUCCGGAUUGGGGACAGUGUAUGGUGGGUAGUUUGACUGGGGCGGUCUCCUCCCAAAGAGUAACGGAGGAGUGCAAUGGUACGCUCAGCGCGGUCGGUCAUCGCGCUCUAGAGUGCAAAGGCAUAAGCGUGCUUAACUGUGAGACAGACACGUCGAACAGGUACGAAAGUAGGUCUUAGUGAUCCGGUGGUUCUGUAUGGAAGGGCCAUCGCUCAACGGAUAAAAGGUACUCCGGGGAUAACAGGCUUAUUCCUCCCAAGAGUCCACAUCGACGGAGGAGUUUGGCACCUCGAUGUCGGCUCAUCACAUCCUGGGGCUGUAGCAGGUCCCAAGGGUAUGGCUGUUCGCCAUUUAAAGUGGUACGCGAGCUGGGUUCAGAACGUCGUGAGACAGUUCGGUCCCUAUCUGCCGUGGGCGUUGGAAACUUGAGGGUGAGCUGUCCUUAGUACGAGAGGACCGGGAUGGACGUAUCUCUGGUGUUCCGGUUGUCACGCCAGUGGCACUGCCGGGUAGCUAUAUACGGACGGGAUAAGCGCUGAAAGCAUCUAAGCGCGAAGCCCCCCCCAAGAUUAGGUUUCCCUGGGAACUCGAUUCCCCUAAAGGGCCGUCGGAGACUACGACGUUGAUAGGCUGGGUGUGUAAGUGCAGCAAUGCAUUGAGCUAACCAGUACUAAUUGCCCGUGAGGCUUGACC